Molecule: ribosomal RNA, 447 nt
Filed under: Triticum aestivum (bread wheat)
Lineage: Eukaryota; Viridiplantae; Streptophyta; Magnoliopsida; Poales; Poaceae
Description: partial small subunit ribosomal RNA
Source: RNAcentral
UUUGGAUUUCCCACUGCUGGUGCUGUUGUUCUUGAGCCGACUUCUUACCGUCAGGCUGUUGUUCAUCCUGAAUGGCAGUUUGCGAUGGCAGAGGAGAUUGCUGCUCUUGAACGCACUGGUACCUGGGAUCUUGUUUCUCUUCCUCCCGGAGUCCGUCCCAUCACUUGUAAGUGGGUUUACAAGGUUAAGACUCGCUCCGAUGGUUCUCUUGAGCGUCACAAAGCUCGUCUCGUGGCUCGUGGUUUUCAGCAGGAGCAUGGUCGUGAUUAUGACGAGACUUUUGCUCCUGUGGCCCAUAUGACCACUAUUCGUACACUUCUUGCUGUUGCCUCUGCACGCCACUGGUCUAUAUCUCAACUUGAUGUUAAGAAUGCCUUUCUUAAUGGUGAGCUGCGUGAGGAGGUGUACAUGCAGCCACCACCUGGGUAUUCUGUUCCUGAUGGCAUG